RNAcentral lists this ribosomal RNA (467 nucleotides) under uncultured bacterium. RNAcentral describes it as "partial 16S ribosomal RNA". It matches the Rfam family "Bacterial small subunit ribosomal RNA", at positions 28 to 506 of the family's 1533-position model. The record is from RNAcentral.
GACGAACGCUGGCGGCGUGCUUAACACAUGCAAGUCGAACGGAAAGGCCCUGCUUUUGUGGGGUGCUCGAGUGGCGAACGGGUGAGUAACACGUGAGUAACCUGCCCUUGACUUUGGGAUAACUUCAGGAAACUGGGGCUAAUACCGGAUAGGAGCUCCUGCUGCAUGGUGGGGGUUGGAAAGUUUCGGCGGUUGGGGAUGGACUCGCGGCUUAUCAGCUUGUUGGUGGGGUAGUGGCUUACCAAGGCUUUGACGGGUAGCCGGCCUGAGAGGGUGACCGGCCACAUUGGGACUGAGAUACGGCCCAGACUCCUACGGGAGGCAACAGUGGGGAAUAUUGCACAAUGGGCGGAAGCCUGAUGCAGCAACGCCGCGUGCGGGAUGACGGCCUUCGGGUUGUAAACCGCUUUGGCCUGUGACGAAGCGUGAGUGACGGUAAUGGGUAAAGAAGCACCGGCUAACUACGU